CCUACGGGAGGCAGCAGUGGGGAAUAUUGCACAAUGGGGGAAACCCUGAUGCAGCGACGCCGCGUGAGUGAAGAAGAAUUUCGGUACGUAAAGCUCUAUCAGCAGGGAAGAAAAGGACGGUACCUGACUAAGAAGCCCCGGCGAUCGACGGGCCAGCAGCCGCGGUAAUACGUCGGGGGCAAGGGUUAUCCGGAUUUACUGGGUGUAAAGGGAGCGUAGACGGCAGCGCAAGUCUGGAGUGAAAUCCCAUGGCUUACCCAUGGAACUGCUUUGGAAACUGUGCAGCUGGAGUGCAGGAGAGGUAAGCGUACUUCCUCGUGUUGCGGUGAUCUGCGUAGUUAUUAGGCG
Molecule: ribosomal RNA, 348 nt
Filed under: uncultured bacterium
Lineage: Bacteria
Description: partial 16S ribosomal RNA
Rfam family: Bacterial small subunit ribosomal RNA
Source: RNAcentral